Molecule: long non-coding RNA, 1238 nt
Organism: Apteryx owenii (little spotted kiwi)
Lineage: Eukaryota; Metazoa; Chordata; Aves; Apterygiformes; Apterygidae
Source: Ensembl
CAGCCGUGGGCUGCUGGGGCGCAGGCAGCGGGUGCGGUGGCGGCUGGUGCCCUGCCAGCCCCGCGCCGGGCUCCCGCCUCCAGUGGGUGGAAGCCUCACGUGGGGACUGGCUCGGUCCUGCUCCCACGGCCAGACCUCGUCCAUCACUUGCGUGGCCCUUGGUCGUGGAAAUAAUAGUACCUCUUUACCACAGAAGGUGUUGCAAGAGGAAUUUGUGAAGAACUGUCUGGCAGUUGGGUACUACAGGGAUGGAGGCCACAGAUGUAUCUAUAGAGGCAGAAAAAAGCCUUGAACUAAAGACGGUAAGAAAAUCAACAAAGAGGCUGAGUGAGAAUGGCCAGUUCAAGACUAAGAGAAGGAAGUAGUAUGUUACCCAGCCUACACUUUGCUAGAGGAACUCACUGCUACCAGUUAUCCUUGAGGUCUGGAUUCAUGACUCCGGAGAGGUUAGGAUAUCUGGAGAACAGCAAGCAUGUGAAGAGUUUGAACAGCUUCUUCUGUCUUUAUAGAACAAAGACUUGACUUUGUAACGCUAUGCAUCAGGAGGAAAAUCGCAAGUUCUUUAAAAGAUCUUCAGCCAGCACAUGUCCUCAGUGUCAAAUAUUGGAGGUAUUUAAAGGAUAGCUUUUCUGGUGAAUUUGAAAUAUUUGGGAUUUAUUAUGGAUCAAGAUAUUCCAUCUAUGUUUUGACUUGACUGAGAAAUAUAUGUGAAAGAUGAAUGUGACUUUCAGCUUUAUCUGCUUUCCCACAUAUUCUGUACAUAUGGCACCCUGCAGAGAUCCUGCCGCUGGACUGAAACCUGAAAUCCACACCUUACUUGUUCAAACACUGGUUUGCUCUGAGUUUUGCCACAGCAAGAACUGAGUGAAAACUGUAUGUACUUUUGGGCUUGUGAUCUUUUGGGUAGCCAUUGCUGGUUCUUCCUGCAAAACCAAGGAAGAAGUUUUUGUUAUGCAGACACGGGAAAUAUAGGCAGUGCAUCUGGGUUUGAAAGCUCAGAAAAUCAGCCCACAAAUUCCAAAUAUAAGGACUGGAGUCUCCUCUGGGGUUGUCAACAUUGUCUUCGACAGGUUAGCAUUACCGUGGAGGAGGUUGUCCACAGUCCCAGAGCUGGGAGAAUGAAAGAACUGAAGUUUUGUCUGGCAGUGCAUGGGUUGAGAAGGAAGAUAAGUUCAUUUCUUUCUUCCUCUUCCUUUUGCUCACAUUUGCACAUGGAGGACCUCAAGAAAGGCAGAUAA